RNAcentral lists this ribosomal RNA (492 nucleotides) under uncultured bacterium. Its description in RNAcentral is "partial 16S ribosomal RNA". It matches the Rfam family "Bacterial small subunit ribosomal RNA", at positions 29 to 507 of the family's 1533-position model. The record is from RNAcentral.
AGUGAACGCUGGCGGUAGGCCUAACACAUGCAAGUCGAACGGCAGCACAGUAAGAGCUUGCUCUUACGGGUGGCGAGUGGCGGACGGGUGAGGAAUACAUCGGAAUCUACUUUUUCGUGGGGGAUAACGUAGGGAAACUUACGCUAAUACCGCAUACGACCUACGGGUGAAAGCAGGGGAUCUUCGGACCUUGCGCGAUUGAAUGAGCCGAUGUCGGAUUAGCUAGUUGGCGGGGUAAAGGCCCACCAAGGCGACGAUCCGUAGCUGGUCUGAGAGGAUGAUCAGCCACACUGGAACUGAGACACGGUCCAGACGCCUACGGGAGGCAGCAGUGGGGAAUAUUGGACAAUGGGCGAAAGCCUGAUCCAGCCAUACCGCGUGGGUGAAGAAGGCCUUCGGGUUGUAAAGCACUUUUGUUGGGAAAGAAAAGCAGCAGGUUAAUACCCCGCUGUUCUGACGGUACCCAAAGAAUAAGCAACGGCUAACCUCGUG